CCUCUCUGGUGCCUAAAUUGUUCCCCCUGUUAAUUUCCUCUUCCUUCACUGUCCAGUGCUUUUAAGUGCAGCAGGACAGGUGGAUGGCUGAGCCAGUGUGUUCAAAUAUUGAAGGCUUGGGAGGGGACAGAGCAAAAAUCUGGGAGUAAAAAUAGAAAACAAACUCCCUAAUUGCCAGGUAUCAUGGGCAUACGGGAAGGAAACUCAGCAGGGGGUGUUGUUGCCACAGACGUCACAGUUAAAAACACGCUGCCAUCCGCAGGGCAAUUCAGCUCAGUUGCACAUUAUGGUUUAAUGAUGGCAUAGGGAUGACUCACAUGCAACACUGAUUCACUUUACAUUAGACACUUAAUCACAGCAGCUAUUAUCCCCACUUUGUGUUGAUAGAAGUACCGAAUACCACAAGACUUGCAUUCAGAAGAUGCGAAACAUUUACUCACUGAGAGUUACCAGUUGAGUUAUGUGUGUUUUUGCAGGUGUGGGAGGGUUGCCGGCUACUGUCAGCCUUUCUUAUUUAGCGCCAUGCUGCAAAGCUGGAGAAGCAGCCAAGUCUUUCUUUCAUCUGUCAUUGCAGCCUCCAAGGCAGGUCCACGUGAAAAGAGAUUAUUUCGAGGUGUUUUGCUGUAUGUAAUUUUAAAUGAAUUGAUUGUUAGAUUUUGGGGAAAACAUGUAAAAGUCACAAAUCUUUACCAUUUUUUUAAUUACUACUCUGUUUUGGAGAAAUCUAAAAGACUGUGUAGAAUUCGACCACUAGGUGAAGCUGCAAUGGACACAAAAGGGUUUUGUCUAAAAACUGCUGAUGUAUUUACCACAAAUAAAUUAUUAGAGUCUGGGAAACACUUGACUGAAGAAGCCCUAAUAUGAUUCGAUUUUACAGAAAGAUUUUUUUUUUUUUUCACAGUCAAUUAUUUUUUUUGAACCUUCACCAAAAGUGGCACGGAUAAUCUUCAGACCAAGUUGCUGGUUUAACUUUUUAAACCUGUUUUAUUAUGGGAAAUCCAAAUCGGAUGGAAAUGUGUUACACAGGAACUUUGAGGUAAUAAUCUCGUCAACCAUUUUUAGUACUAAAGAAAAGAUGCACGUAUUUUCAUGAAGGUGAAGCUGGUGUGGAAUUGCCUUAAACCUGGAUUCUUUCUAAUGGUGGGCAGCUCCUCUGGUUAACAAAAGUCUGGCUGCAUUGAAGACCAUGGGCAAAUGACUUGGUUUCCUUAUUUCUGAUAAGUUUAUAGUCUAAAUCUCUAGUUAUACAUUAUAUUUCACAAUAUUAUAUAGAUAUUAUAAAUUAUGGUCCCUAUUUUAUUAAAAAAGAAAAGUAAAGUAGGGUAUUUUUCAGGUUGGGCCUACUUUAUGAUUGAUUAGCUACUCCUGUGAGUGCAGAGCAGUCAAAUCCUCACUUUUCAGUUAAAAAACAAAAAAACACAAAAAAAUAGUCCCUCUUUUAUAUACAUGCAAUAUAUGAUUGACACCAAACUUUAUUUAAGGAGUUGAACCAUUCUCUGACGUAACAAAGUGUAAUUUGUACAUUUAUGAAACAGAAAAUUCGUAUUUUUCCUGGACCUGCUUAAAGCUACAUUUGACAUAAUCAGAUCAAGUUGCCUUAGCGACUAUACCCUGCUGAAUUGCUUGGCCCGCUCAUCGCUGUUUGAAACGACACAUUUAUAGAAUUGAGUUGGAUGAAUGAAUAAAGUACUAAUGGUUUUGCCUCAGACGCCUAUCACAUAACUAUUCCAUUCAACUUACUAAUUAACUGUUACAAAAAAUGUUCACGUUUAGUGAAAGAAAUCUUUAGAAGCUUCAGUGGAACUAGUCAAAAUUCUGAUUGUGAAUACUAUGAUUAACCCUCUCCACUCACCAUAACAAAGAAAAAGACUAGAUGAAUAUAAGAUUCUUUCAUUAACGCAUCCAUUAAUGUGCAAUUUAAAGAUUGCUUAAAAACUGCAGGGCUAACCAAGGCUUUUAGAUAAACCUGUUUAUCAGGUGUUAUCUUUUUCCUCCAGUAUUAUAAGCUUUGAUACCAAUUUGUUACACUUCUUAAUAAUGAAGCAUCAAAAAAGGUAGAACAAGAUAGUCAUUAAUUCGUUUUCUCACCUACUAGCCUUAAGUAGCCAGCGUGCAGUUACUGUUUAUGUAAUGAAAUAAAGAUGCUAUAAAGCUAUAUAAUAGUCUUAACUCCACUUUGGCCAAAUAGUUGAAGGUCAGAGUUUGUG
Long non-coding RNA from Astatotilapia calliptera (eastern happy), 2207 nucleotides. Lineage: Eukaryota; Metazoa; Chordata; Actinopteri; Cichliformes; Cichlidae. The record is from Ensembl.